Phoenix dactylifera (date palm) is the source of this 4758-nucleotide non-coding RNA. NCBI's taxonomy places the organism in Eukaryota, Viridiplantae, Streptophyta, Magnoliopsida, Arecales, Arecaceae. The record is from RefSeq and is a predicted model, not a curated record.
CCGAACUCCCCAUAGCUACAGUGAGUCGCAGUAGGGCUGCCGGCUACGGGCCACCUCGACAGGACGUGGGCAAACCUACUCGCCGUCCACCGGUCUCAAUCCCAUCGCCCAUCGGCCAUGGCAAGUAGGAAUCUAUUCGGCAGCCUAUUCCUUCGCCGCCCACCUACUUCCCCGUCUCCCAACGGACCCUUCCCUUCUCCGCAAGAAAACACCGGAGAACAGGGGGCUCCUUCCCAUCUCCCUCACCCUCUCACAGUCACUAAUAGUGAUCAAACCCUCCCAGCUCUUUCUGAUCCCUCCUUCGUGCGCUCUUGGAAGAGGGGAGGGAAGAAUCCUCCCGCGGCCCCGCCUGAUAGACGAAUCUGUGAUUCUUGCUCGUUGAGUGGACUCUGAAACCGUAAAGGGAUUCUUGGUGCUCGCCGCGCCUGCCUCGCAGGUCGCACUAUAUUUUUUUUAUUGACUGGUUGAAAGCCAUAGUUAGAGCACCAUCAGUUCUUUUCCCUGAUCUCUAGCAUCCGAAAGCUAUUUGGACCAGCCACUGUUGCAGUCCCGCAUGCUACACUGAUGAUAGACACAAGAUCUAUGUUCAGAAUGGUUUGGCUUAGGUUUGAUUGAAGGAACAAGUCCGAUAGGCCAGCCAUGUGCUGAACGUUUUGUAUCAAUGGAAGGAUAUGAACGAUAUAUUUGGUUGCAGCCUCAAAGAGAUCACAACCAUACUCCAUCCCAAAUCCUCUCAUAACAAUGGUGUUCCAUAAUGUUUCUUGACUUUCCAAAUCCAUUCCAAUAAGCAUGCUAAGGACUUUUCUAUCCAUGAGGACCAUGCUGACAAGGUUUCACAGUAGUUUCUUACUUUCUAGGUCUCGAAAAUGAUACACCUGCUUUUGAUGCUUCUGCACUUCAACUAAUCGCUUGCAGAUACACUCUUGUAUUAGAGAGAUCCUGUGCGAUAGCAAAAUAUCUGCAACUGCCAUAUUACACUUGCAAGUGUCUCAAAAGUACCACAUUUGUAGUUUAAAGUGCAACAGUUUCAAACAUUAUGAUGUGGCUUCGUCUAAUCAUUGUGAUAGGGCAUCUUGUGCCACACACAAAGCAGCCAGCUGACUGGUUUAACCUCUGAAAUUACAUCCAUUAGUUGUGUUUUUCGCACCAGGCUAAUGGUGCUGCAGAAAAACUGGUGAAAUGGGAUGAUGAUCUGCUGCAUCUGUCUAUGUUCAUCAAGAUGUGGUGGUUCUUAUAGUUCGUGGCUGAAAUCUACGAGAUGACGUGGGUAGAAAAACUUGGAGGAAAUGGAUUUCAUGGUCCAAGACACUAUUGCAGGGUUUACAAUCUUCUCUAAUGGCGUGAACUGAGACCCAAUUGUCCAUUGCCCAUUAUUGUUUCCUUCUGUCUAUCAAAGAUCUUUAUACCAAAUUACUUUCAUCAUUUUGAUAAUUUGUAAUAAUCAUCAUUUAUUAUAUUUUUAUAUAGAAUUACCAAUUAUUUUGGACUUUAAAUUCUCUAAUUGAAAUGGAAAGAUUUUCCUACACAAUGGGAUACCUGUUCUCAUCCCUUUCAUAUACAUAGAGAAACACUUAUUAUGUGCUAGAGAAACUCUAUCUAUCAUGUGGUGAAUGAGAUUGAAUUUCUCUUUGAAUUGCAAAUCCUCUAUAACACUCAGACCUGAUACUGCCAAGCAAGGUCAUUCUUUGCAGGCACAAUUUCAGUUCAGGCGGGAUCAAAACCAACAGUGGGUGGUUGGUCUGACUUAAUGGGGCAGUCUAGUUUCUAGCUUAAUAGUCAUACCAAUGUUAUCGUUAGCUCAUAUGAUGGUUACCUUUUUGUUUUCUUCUCUUCUCCUUGAUCAGUUAGCCUGAGAGGCCAGUAUGUUACGAUCUUUUUUUACAACUCCUGGAGAUAGCUAGACUACAAUAUAUGUGACCUUUAUUUGUUACUUUGCCAAUGUGGCACUUUUCUUCUACACACAAAAGUCAACAUUUAUGGCCUGUCCUGAUGAGAGAAGAACUUUAUUCAUGGAGCCACGUUUGGAGUCCAAGAAGCUUUUUCAACCAUUUACCUAUUUCACUGGGUCCUUAGGGAUAUCCUCAAAAACUUCAUUGCUUUCUCUCUGUAGCUAGAUUUGCCAACGAUAAGUGAGUUAAAUUAUUUCCUGAAACCAUUCCCUUGGCAGACUCCAUAUUCCAAAGCCAUCCCACAAACUAGCAUUUCAUCUGUCUCCAACUAUUGUGCAUGUCUUGGAUUUUCCGCUUGUAAUCUCUUCCUUGUGACUAGUAAUCUGGCAUAUCAAUUCACUAAUGGAACUAAUUUGACCUACUGCUCACACUGGUUUUUUCGUAGUAUAUUCUGCCAUGUUUCCCAUUCUAAUUCCUUGUUCUUCAUCUACUUCUGAUCCAUCAAUAUCCAGUUACUCUGAUGAAUUAUGAACCUGCAUGAUCUCAACCAUUGCAUAUGAAAAGAUUUGGCAUUUUAGACGUUCCAAUAAUGUCUCCAAGAUUUUCUCUUAGUUCUGAGUUCUAAUUAUUACCAAAAUGUAACUGCUCCUGCCCUACACAAGAACAUGUAAGCUUGCAUUAUUCUUAACAGUAAUAGGACUUUCACAUGAAAAUCAAAAUUUGAUAGUUAAUAUUUGUUAUUAGCUAUGUACAGUAUCCGGCAUUCUUCCGAGCUGUCUGCCACAACUCAUGCUUGUUGCAGUUUUACCAAAUUGAUUGUCCAUAUGACUUUGCUCUGAUUCUCUCCUCUUUGUCUUUUCCACUCAUUUGAAUUUAGACAAGGUUGACAUCUAUAGAUGGGUUGGCAGGCUAGAAGGUACUAGUUGCAUCUUUAAAACAUCUAAAGUUUAAUGCUUAUGAUCAAUCUAAUCAAAAUCCAUUUUCAGCAGGACUUCAGGCAGGGGGCAAAGGAAAACAUAUAUGAUCUAAAGGGGCAGUUAGAUAAAUACGUGAUGCAAAUCAAGUCUACUGCCUGCUGCAAGUUAUAAUGCUUAUGACCAGAUAUUUAUUCUUUUUGCUCAUAAAAAUGAUUAGGUUUCUGUUCUGAAAAUUGAAGUAUUUGAAUUUCCAUGAGUACCUCAGCUGCAUGAAUACAAUCUUGUGCUACCUUUGCUCCUUCCAUCACCAUAAUCAUCCUUGUUGUUCUCAGUCCAUAUGUGAACGCCUUUCUUAUGGGUGCUUGGAAAAGCGGCAGGACAUAGGUGGAGAAGCUAAAUUGCACUUCAACAUUUGGAUGGUCAGAGUUUAACAUGGUAAUGGAGAUUCCCAUGCUCGCAUUGCUUUUCUUUAUCUUAACUUCUUCUUUUUUUUCUUUUCCUUUUUUUUGGUGUGUGCGCGCAUGGCGCAGCCUCAUUUCAAGUCUCUUUUAUUUAUGUGCCUUUGUUUUGAGUCAACAAAGGCUGCAUCUUUGCUGGAUUAGUGACUUGUGGCAAAGUGAUAGGAAAGCCAUCCAUUUUAGCUUAACAGGUAGCUCUAAUAGUACUUUAAAACGAAGCAGCUCUAAAGGUUGUUGGUGUCCUCUGUAGUUCUGUGCAAAUGGCUCGAGUAGAUCCCAUACUUGUAGUGACUAUGAUGUGCUUUAUUUAAGUAGGCAAAUGUUUUAGCUGAUGAUUAUGGUUAAUUGUAACAGUUCAGGGGACCCAGAUUCCUUAAGAAUUGGUUGUGAUAUUCCUUUCUAUCAGUUUAUAUAGUGUGAAAAUUACUACUUGUCUUGUGCUAAAGUUACCUAAGUUAGUAGUUGUUAUAUGUAACUCAUUUAUCAUCAUUACCAUCCAAAUAUGCUAGUGUGCUUGUUUAGUUCUGUGCUAUCAAAGUUAUCUACCUAGCCUGAAUUAAAAAACGUCCCUGCAACUAUGGAUGAUUAGAGGAACACAUUCAUGCACAUAUACACAUGCACAGAAGGAUGUAGUGAUGCAAUAUGUUUCAUGUUCUCUCUAAUCAAUAUUCAUCAUCAUUCUCUCUCAUUUUCCAUUACCAACUUAAUUUCUCUGUUAAAAGAUCAUCAUUCUCAUCAUGAGAUAUGCUCAUAAAUGUUGGGUAUAAACUGGCUCAAAAAACUCAUGAUGGAACACCAAUUAUUCUUGAGCAUCAUAUAUUUUCUAUAUAUCUCUCUCAUCAAUGUCCUUUUCAUUAUCAUCAAAAAUAUCUCAACCUCUAUUAUUGCAAUAUCAUCUUAUAAUGUGCUCCACAUUUUAAACAAGCUAAGAACCAUUGUGAUAGGAACAUCACAAAAAGGGUCUCAGCGACCACUGACCUUUAUAAUGCAUGAACAACAUUCUUCAGAGAUGCUUACAGAAUGAAAUCUAUUUGCCCAAUGGAGUGAUGUUCCAACAACUUCAAAUGCCUUGAAACAAAGAGAGUAACUAACAAUAUAUCGACUUAAAUGUAUCAGCAUAAACUAAUACAAAUGAAAGGAUAGCCUUUACCAGUCAACUUUCCUUUGUUUAUAAUUGGAAUAGAUACCAUGGCAAAAUACUGUAAACAAAAAGCAGUGCAAGACAAGCUUUCUUCUGACAUUUGGAUGGACAUGGUUGAAAAUUAUGACAUAAACAACAAUGCUUAAUAUUAUCUAGUACGAAUUAUAUCUUAUCAAGGCUUGAGUCUGCCUAAACUGAAGUCCUUUAAGUAUGCAUGUCUCCUUUGGAGUCAACAAAGGCGGUGAUUUUAAAUGGACUAGCGACUGCCGAAAAUGAGAUAAAGGACGACUAAGCUCUUGGAUUGGUGACUGUCUUUUUGAGCACGACUAUGGUGUGCAAUCUUCUUUUUUUUU